UUCUACUCUGCGCAGUGCGUGAGCGAUGGUAACGGUUAUCCUUUUUGUUUGGGCUGGGAAAAGCUGGGCAACAAAAAGAUAAUAGUGGACAGCGCGGUCCCAG
Molecule: small RNA, 103 nt
Filed under: Epilithonimonas lactis
Lineage: Bacteria; Pseudomonadati; Bacteroidota; Flavobacteriia; Flavobacteriales; Weeksellaceae
Description: Chryseobacterium halperniae Flavo-1 RNA
Rfam family: Flavo-1 RNA
Source: RNAcentral